UACAGAGGGUGCAAGCGUUAAUCGGAAUUACUGGGCGUAAAGCGUGCGUAGACGGUUAUGUAAGUCAGGUGUGAAGGCCCCGGGCUCAACCUGGGAAUUGCAUUUGAGACUGCAUAGCUAGGGUGCGGAAGAGGGAAGCGGAAUUUCCGGUGUAGCGGUGAAAUGCGUAGAUAUCGGAAGGAACACCAGUGGCGAAAGCGGCUUCCUGGUCCAGCACCGACGUCAGGCACGAAAGCGUGGGGAGCAAACAGG
This 252-nucleotide ribosomal RNA is filed under the name uncultured bacterium. Its description in RNAcentral is "partial 16S ribosomal RNA". It matches the Rfam family "Bacterial small subunit ribosomal RNA", at positions 524 to 776 of the family's 1533-position model. The record is from RNAcentral.